Molecule: transfer RNA, 88 nt
Filed under: Sulfitobacter donghicola DSW-25 = KCTC 12864 = JCM 14565
Lineage: Bacteria; Pseudomonadati; Pseudomonadota; Alphaproteobacteria; Rhodobacterales; Roseobacteraceae
Rfam family: tRNA
About the family: Transfer RNA (tRNA) molecules are approximately 80 nucleotides in length. Their secondary structure includes four short double-helical elements and three loops (D, anti-codon, and T loops). Further hydrogen bonds mediate the characteristic L-shaped molecular structure. tRNAs have two regions of fundamental functional importance: the anti-codon, which is responsible for specific mRNA codon recognition, and the 3' end, to which the tRNAs corresponding amino acid is attached (by aminoacyl-tRNA synthetases). tRNAs cope with the degeneracy of the genetic code in two manners: having more than one tRNA (with a specific anti-codon) for a particular amino acid; and 'wobble' base-pairing, i.e. permitting non-standard base-pairing at the 3rd anti-codon position.
Source: Rfam by way of RNAcentral
GGAGGUUUGGCAGAGUGGUCGAAUGCACCGGUCUUGAAAACCGACGGGCGUCAAAAGCGUCCCCAGGGUUCGAAUCCCUGAGCCUCCG